Salvia splendens (bonfire salvia) is the source of this 435-nucleotide long non-coding RNA. RefSeq lists it as uncharacterized. NCBI's taxonomy places the organism in Eukaryota, Viridiplantae, Streptophyta, Magnoliopsida, Lamiales, Lamiaceae. The record is from RefSeq and is a predicted model, not a curated record. The transcript has 3 exons.
CCCCUUUUUCAUCUCUUCUCCCACUUGUUAUCCAUUUCACUCAAGAUCCUAUCAAUUUUCCAAGAGAUUGUUGAAGAACCAAGGUUUUAAUUGCUUCCUACCGAUUAUUUCGUCCAAGAAAAGGUGAAAUUUUGUGCGAGACGCGUGAUACCAAAGGAAAAGCGAAACUUGAAAACUAAAGGAUCGAGGUUGAGCGGCGACGGGCGGUUGGCGGUGUUGAGCAGGAACUAAUAAUGAACUGUGGUUGUUUUGGUUUUGAAAUUCCGAGUGUCGUUGUGUCUUCACACAUGACGUCACUCUUCUCUUGGAUGCUUCCGCUGUGAUAUUUUUCUUAGAAUACUUUUCAUUUAAAUUCUGAAACUAUUUUAUGAUGGGAUGUUUGAAACUCGUUACACUUUUUGAAUAAAUGCUAAACCCUAGUCUUUAUUCAUUAAA